Molecule: ribosomal RNA, 254 nt
Filed under: uncultured bacterium
Lineage: Bacteria
Description: partial 16S ribosomal RNA
Rfam family: Bacterial small subunit ribosomal RNA
Source: RNAcentral
UACGUAGGGGGCAAGCGUUGUUCGGAAUGACUGGGCGUAAAGGGUGCGUAGGCGCUGUAGCAAGUUAGAAGUGAAAUACCUAGAGCUUAACUCAGGUGCUGCUUCUAAAACUGCUAUACUUGAGUGCAGUAGAGGAAAGUGGAAUUCCUAGUGUAGCGGUGGAAUGCGUAGAUAUUAGGAGGAACAUCAGUGGCGAAGGCGACUUUCUGGACUGUAACUGACGCUGAGGCACGAAAGUGUGGGGAGCAAACAGG